ACGGGUGAGUAAUGCCUAGGAAUCUGCCUGGUAGUGGGGGACGAACGUUUCGAAAGGAACGCUAAUACCGCAUACGUCCUACGGAGAAAGCAGGGACCUUCGGGCCUUGCGCUAUCAGAUGAGCCUAGGUCGGAUUAGCUAGUUGGUGAGGUAAUGGCUCACCAAGGCGACGAUCCGUAACUGGUCUGAGAGGAUGAUCAGUCACACUGGAACUGAGACACGGUCCAGACUCCUACGACGGAGGCAGCAGUU
Molecule: ribosomal RNA, 252 nt
Filed under: uncultured Pseudomonas sp.
Lineage: Bacteria; Pseudomonadati; Pseudomonadota; Gammaproteobacteria; Pseudomonadales; Pseudomonadaceae
Description: partial 16S ribosomal RNA
Rfam family: Bacterial small subunit ribosomal RNA
Source: RNAcentral